UACGAAGGGGGCUAGCGUUGUUCGGAAUUACUGGGCGUAAAGCGCACGUAGGCGGAUAUUUAAGUCAGGGGUGAAAUCCCAGAGCUCAACUCUGGAACUGCCUUUGAUACUGGGUAUCUUGAGUAUGGAAGAGGUUAGUGGAAUUGCGAGUGUAGAGGUGAAAUUCGUAGAUAUUCGCAGGAACACCAGUGGCGAAGGCGGCUAACUGGUCCAUAACUGACGCUGAGGUGCGAAAGCGUGGGGAGCAAACAGG
This 253-nucleotide ribosomal RNA is filed under the name uncultured bacterium. Its description in RNAcentral is "partial 16S ribosomal RNA". It matches the Rfam family "Bacterial small subunit ribosomal RNA", at positions 524 to 776 of the family's 1533-position model. The record is from RNAcentral.